GGGGGUGUAACUCAGUGGUAGAGUGUCUACUUCGCAUGCAGAAUGUCCUGGGUUCAAAUCCCAGCUCCUCCA
RNAcentral lists this transfer RNA (72 nucleotides) under Schistocerca americana (American grasshopper). RNAcentral describes it as "tRNA-Ala". It matches the Rfam family "tRNA". From Rfam's summary of the family: Transfer RNA (tRNA) molecules are approximately 80 nucleotides in length. Their secondary structure includes four short double-helical elements and three loops (D, anti-codon, and T loops). Further hydrogen bonds mediate the characteristic L-shaped molecular structure. tRNAs have two regions of fundamental functional importance: the anti-codon, which is responsible for specific mRNA codon recognition, and the 3' end, to which the tRNAs corresponding amino acid is attached (by aminoacyl-tRNA synthetases). tRNAs cope with the degeneracy of the genetic code in two manners: having more than one tRNA (with a specific anti-codon) for a particular amino acid; and 'wobble' base-pairing, i.e. permitting non-standard base-pairing at the 3rd anti-codon position. Lineage: Eukaryota; Metazoa; Arthropoda; Insecta; Orthoptera; Acrididae. The record is from RNAcentral.